GACGAACGCUGGCGGCGUGCUUAACACAUGCAAGUCGAACGAAAAGAGGGAAAGAGCUUGCUCUUUCCGGAAUUGAGUGGCAAACGGGUGAGUAACACGUAAACAACCUGCCUUCAGGAUGGGGACAACAGACGGAAACGACUGCUAAUACCGAAUAAGUUCCAAGAGCCGCAUGGCCCAUGGAAGAAAAGGUGGCCUCUACCUGUAAGCUAUCGCCUGAAGAGGGUUUUGCGUCGGAUUAGCUGGUUGGAGGGGUAACGGCCCACCAACGCGACGAUCAGUAGCCGGUCUGAGAGGAUGAACGGCCACACUGGAACUGAGACACGGUCCAGACUCCUACGGGAAGCAGCAGUAGGGAAUCUUCCGCAAUGGGCGAAAGCCUGACGGAGCAACGCCGCGUGAGUGAUGACGGCCUUCGGGUUGUAAAACUCUGUGAUCCGGGACGAAAAGGCAGAGUGCGAAGAACAAACUGCAUUGACGGUACCGGAAAAGCAAGCCACGGCUAACUACGUG
RNAcentral lists this ribosomal RNA (513 nucleotides) under uncultured bacterium. RNAcentral's name for it is "partial 16S ribosomal RNA". It matches the Rfam family "Bacterial small subunit ribosomal RNA", at positions 28 to 507 of the family's 1533-position model. The record is from RNAcentral.